ACAACAUUUGGAUCGUCAGUCUACCGAGUAAUUUCACCCGCUUGGUGGAAGAUUUUGCCUUUUUCGU
Molecule: microRNA precursor, 67 nt
Filed under: Bombyx mori (domestic silkworm)
Lineage: Eukaryota; Metazoa; Arthropoda; Insecta; Lepidoptera; Bombycidae
Description: mir-2774 microRNA precursor family
Rfam family: mir-2774 microRNA precursor family
Source: Rfam by way of RNAcentral